This 421-nucleotide ribosomal RNA is filed under the name Leccinellum alborufescens. Its description in RNAcentral is "Leccinellum sp. RX-2019a partial large subunit ribosomal RNA". It matches the Rfam family "Eukaryotic large subunit ribosomal RNA", at positions 73 to 478 of the family's 3401-position model. The record is from RNAcentral. Lineage: Eukaryota; Fungi; Basidiomycota; Agaricomycetes; Boletales; Boletaceae.
GAUUCCCCUAGUAACUGCGAGUGAAGAGGGAAAAGCUCAAAUUUUGAAUCUGGCAGUCUAAUCUUGAUGGCUGUCCGAAUUGUAAUCUAGAGAAGCGUCUUCCGCGCUGGCCCGUGUACAAGUCUCCUGGAAGGGAGCAUCGUAGAGGGUGACAAUCCCGUCUAUUGACACGGACUACCAGGGCUUAUGUGUUGCGCUCUCGACGAGUCGAGUUGUUUGGGAAUGCAGCUCAAAUAGGGUGGUAAAUUCCAUCUAAAGCUAAAUACAGGCAAGAGACCGAUAGUGAACAAGUACCGUGAGGGAAAGAUCAAAAGAACUUUGAAAAGAGAGUUAAACAGUACGUGAAAUUGCUGAAAGGGAAACGCUCGAUGUCAGUCACGUCGAUUAGGGGUCAGCUUAGCUUUAUCUGCCGAGUCUAAUU